RNAcentral lists this ribosomal RNA (266 nucleotides) under uncultured Staphylococcus sp. Its description in RNAcentral is "partial 16S ribosomal RNA". It matches the Rfam family "Bacterial small subunit ribosomal RNA", at positions 96 to 354 of the family's 1533-position model. The record is from RNAcentral. Lineage: Bacteria; Bacillati; Bacillota; Bacilli; Caryophanales; Staphylococcaceae.
CGGCGGACGGGUGAGUAACACGUGGGUGACCUACCUAUAAGACUGGGAUAACUCCUGGAAACCGGGGCUAAUACCGGAUAACACAUGAAACCGCAUGGUUUCAUGAUGAAAGACGGUUUUGCUGUCACUUAUAGAUGGACCCGCGGCGUAUUAGCUAGUUGGUAAGGUAACGGCUUACCAAGGCAACGAUACGUAGCCGACCUGAGAGGGUGAUCGGCCACACUGGAACUGAGACACGGUCCAGACUCCUACGGGAGGCAGCAGGC